UGCCUUCUGUAAAGGGAACUCCACAAGUGUGCAUGGACUGAAUGGCUAGGAUUAAAAGAAAUAAAACCAUGUUUUAAAUUAAAAAAAAUGGUGUUCAGUUCUCGUUUGCAUCUCACCCUGCCCUCUCCUUUCACCAUACUGCAUAGAAAAUUAGUUUGUGUGUGUGUGUGUCUGCUUGCCACUCUCCUCCCUCUCUCUAUCCCUCUCCCCCUUUCUCUCCUCUCUCUCUCCUCAUCAAGAUCACACUGCUUUGAAUCUCUGGCUCUCAGUAAACAGCUGAGACUCCCACCUUUUCCCUUCCCUUGGACAAGAGACAGCAGUUCGUUUUAGGAUCCACAGUCUACGGGGUGUGAGAGUGACAUGCACCUGUACCCCCCCCUCUUCAGCAGGUGUGACAGUUUGAAUUCUGCCCAGUAGGUGGGACUUGGUGACUUUAGCACCCGUUUUUCUGUCUCCCUCAUCUUCUCUUGCAUUCCUCAGAAGUCUUGUGGACCUCCUGGAAAAAAAACAAAAAACAAAAAAAAUAAUAAAAAAAAAACAACAA
Long non-coding RNA from Spea bombifrons (plains spadefoot toad), 544 nucleotides. RefSeq lists it as uncharacterized. The transcript has 2 exons. The record is from RefSeq and is a predicted model, not a curated record. NCBI's taxonomy places the organism in Eukaryota, Metazoa, Chordata, Amphibia, Anura, Pelobatidae.